Molecule: long non-coding RNA, 458 nt
Filed under: Rattus norvegicus (Norway rat)
Lineage: Eukaryota; Metazoa; Chordata; Mammalia; Rodentia; Muridae
Description: long non-coding RNA NONRATT032877
Source: RNAcentral
GGAAGGUUCCUGGUUUGUUGUAUCUGAAAAUCCAUUCAGAUGUGGGAACAAGAAUUUUGUGAAUGCACAGGAGGCCUGUCAUUCUUGCUUUGCUUAUUGUGGGAUGACAGCCCAUGUGUGAGUUAUCAGUCAAGUCCCCGCAAGCUAACUUCUCCUGUGGUCUGCAGUGUGGGAAACUGGCCAGAGAGAUCCCAGGGUGCGGUUGCAGUAUGGAGGAGAGGAUUUCUGUCGGGUCUGAUGAAUCUGGAGUCAAGCAUUUACCCUGAUAUUGGAAAGUUUCCAAGAGAUCUCGGCUCCGUCGUUGGCAGAACAGACAAAAUAUCCAGCCCAGCUAGAUCCAGUUCUGGAGGAUUCUGAACAACUUCCAAUGACCAGAUCUGUUUGUAGGACUGGAGGAAUAUGGUGGAGAACAUAAUCAGAAUAGAGAGGAAAAUAAGGUGAAGGGUAAGUGCAUGAUA